This 585-nucleotide ribosomal RNA is filed under the name uncultured Variovorax sp. RNAcentral describes it as "bacterial SSU rRNA". It matches the Rfam family "Bacterial small subunit ribosomal RNA", at positions 102 to 683 of the family's 1533-position model. Lineage: Bacteria; Pseudomonadati; Pseudomonadota; Betaproteobacteria; Burkholderiales; Comamonadaceae. The record is from RNAcentral.
ACGGGUGAGUAAUACAUCGGAACGUGCCCAAUCGUGGGGGAUAACGCAGCGAAAGCUGUGCUAAUACCGCAUACGAUCUACGGAUGAAAGCAGGGGAUCGCAAGACCUUGCGCGAACGGAGCGGCCGAUGGCAGAUUAGGUAGUUGGUGAGGUAAAGGCUCACCAAGCCUUCGAUCUGUAGCUGGUCUGAGAGGACGACCAGCCACACUGGGACUGAGACACGGCCCAGACUCCUACGGGAGGCAGCAGUGGGGAAUUUUGGACAAUGGGCGAAAGCCUGAUCCAGCCAUGCCGCGUGCAGGAUGAAGGCCUUCGGGUUGUAAACUGCUUUUGUACGGAACGAAACGGUCUUUUCUAAUAAAGAAGGCUAAUGACGGUACCGUAAGAAUAAGCACCGGCUAACUACGUGCCAGCAGCCGCGGUAAUACGUAGGGUGCAAGCGUCAAUCGGAAUUACUGGGCGUAAAGCGUGCGCAGGCGGUGAUGUAAGACAGUUGUGAAAUCCCCGGGCUCAACCUGGGAACUGCAUCUGUGACUGCGUCGCUGGAGUACGGCAGAGGGGGAUGGAAUUCCGCGUGUAGCAGUG